AGGCGCGGAACUGGGCAUGCUCUGUGUCGCCGCAGCUUUGGGUCGCAAGUAGGAAGCCCGUGCACGACACCGGCGGCGCCGAGUGGAGCGCUGCCGCGGCGGCCAGGGCCGCAGGGCCGGCGUGGGAGCGCGAGACCGGGCGGCGGCGAGAGACCCCGACCCGGGCUGUCAACCGCGCGGCGGGGUCCGAGCCGGAGCGGGAACGGACGGGACGCCCGCCGCGCGGCCCGAGGGCGCCCCCAGAGCGGAGCUGCGGCCGGGAGGAGGACGCGGCCAUGGGGCUGCUGUCCCAAGGCUCGCCACUGAGCUGGGAAGAGACCCAGCGCCACGCCGACCACGUGCGGAGGCACGGCAUCCUCCAGUUCCUGCACAUCUACCACGCAGUCAAGGACCGGCACAAGGACGUGCUCAAGUGGGGUGACGAGGUGGAGUACAUGUUGGUGUCCUUCGAUCAUGAAAAUAGGAAAGUCCAGUUGUUACUGAAUGGAGGCGAUGUUCUUGAGACUCUGCAGGAGAAGGGGGAGAGGACAAACCCCAACCAUCCGACCCUCUGGAGACCAGAGUAUGGGAGUUACAUGAUCGAAGGAACGCCUGGCCAGCCCUACGGAGGAACGAUGUCUGAGUUCAACACUGUGGAGGCCAAUAUGAGGAAACGCCGGAAGGAGGCUACUUCUGUACUAGGAGAGCAUCAGGCUCUCUGCACCAUCACUUCAUUCCCCAGACUAGGCUGUCCUGGAUUCACACUGCCAGAACACAGACCCAACCCAGAGGAAGGAGGCGCAUCAAAGUCCCUCUUCUUUCCAGAUGAAGCCAUAAACAAGCACCCCCGCUUCGGUACUCUAACAAGAAACAUCCGGCAUCGGAGAGGAGAAAAGGUUGUCAUCAAUGUGCCAAUAUUCAAGGACAAGAAUACACCAUCUCCAUUUGUAGAAACAUUUCCAGAAGAUGCGGAGGCAUCAAAGGCUUCUCAGCCAGACCAUAUCUACAUGGAUGCCAUGGGAUUCGGGAUGGGCAACUGCUGUCUCCAGGUGACAUUCCAAGCCUGCAGCAUAUCUGAGGCAAGAUACCUUUAUGAUCAGCUGGCCACUAUCUGCCCAAUUGUUAUGGCUUUGAGUGCUGCAUCUCCAUUUUACCGAGGCUACGUGUCAGACAUUGAUUGUCGCUGGGGAGUGAUUUCUGCCUCUGUAGAUGAUAGAACACGGGAGGAGAGAGGCCUGGAGCCUCUGAAGAACAAUCGCUUUAGGAUCAGUAAGUCUCGGUAUGACUCAAUAGAUAGCUACCUGUCUAAGUGUGGGGAGAAGUACAAUGACAUCGACCUGACCAUCGAUAAGGAGAUCUACGAGCAGCUCCUGGAGGAAGUGUGAAGUCUCUAACUUUUCUUAUGAGGCUGCUUGUUCCUAAAGUUUCAAGUUCCAAAUACUUGUGAGAUCUUCUUGACUUUUAGCAAAAGGAACUUGUUGGAGCUCUGUAUCUAGGUCCACACCAGUGCCCAGCAGGCAUUGUGUGAGGAGUGAGUAAACUCCGAGUCUUCCCCAGUGUCCAUAGGAUAAAACCCUGGGCAAGGCAUCGAUCAUCUUCUGGCACAGCACGUUGCUCAUCUCUUUAUUAGAGACCCACUCACCCUUUUUGAAGAGAAAAUACACCUGGAUGAUGCCAACGAGUCUGACCAUUUUGAGAAUAUUCAGUCUACAAACUGGCAGACAAUGAGGUUUAAGCCUCCUCCUCCAAACUCAGAUAUUGGAUGGAGAGUAGAGUUCCGACCAAUGGAGGUGCAGUUAACAGACUUUGAGAACUCUGCCUAUGUGGUAUUCGUGGUACUGCUCACUAGGGUGAUCCUCUCAUACAAACUAGACUUCCUCAUUCCGCUGUCCAAGGUUGACGAGAACAUGAAAGUGGCCCAGAAGCGAGAUGCUGUCUUGCAGGGGAUGUUUUAUUUCAGGAAAGACAUCUGCAAAGGCGGCAACGCUGUGGUGGACGGGUGCAGCAAGGCCCAGAGCAGCUCUGAGCCAGCUGCAGAGGAGUACACCCUGAUGAGCAUAGACACCAUCAUCAAUGGGAAGGAAGGGGUAUUUCCUGGACUCAUCCCCAUUCUGAACUCCUAUCUGGAGAACAUGGAAGUUGAUGUGGACACCCGAUGCAGUAUUCUGAACUACCUAAAGCUAAUUAAGAAGAGAGCAUCUGGAGAACUAAUGACUGUUGCCAGGUGGAUGAGAGAGUUCAUUGCAAACCAUCCUGACUACAAGCAAGACAGUGUAAUAACUGAUGAAAUCAACUAUAGCCUCAUUUGGAAGUGCAACCAAAUUGCAGAUGAGCUGUGUGAAUGUCCAGAGUUACUUGGAUCAGGAUUUAGAAAAGCGAAGUACAGUGGAGGUAAAAGCGACCCUUCAGCCUAGCCUUCAGCCAGCAGAGAGAGAGAGGGUGAUCGCUGUUUAGGAUGGCGUGUGCAGCCCUGACUCCUGGCCCGCUGGGACGCUGGGAAGACCAAGAUGACCUGCAGUGUUUCUGCGCCAGUUGCCUGCAAGUGGCUACUAGAAGCUCCCUUCAGUAGGUAAAUCUGAGUUUGUACAUGUAUAUACUAAAGUAUUUUUAUGAUUAACAGUGUAUUUUAAUAACAUUGUAUCUAAAGUCAUAGUGAACUGGCUUGUACAUUUUGAAUUCUUACUCUGGAGCAACUACUGUCUAAGCAGUUUUGUAAAUGUAAUUGUACAAUAAUACCGGCAUUCCAGAGUUUCAAAUGUUUACUGUAAAUCUUCCUUUAAUACUACCUGGGACCUGAUUCACUGAAAUUUACUUAAAAAAAAAAAAAAGGCUUUCUCACACCUGUUUCUUGAGUCUCCUCUUACUAUGUAGGUAAAGUCACUGGACUGCAUUGAUGCCCUCCGUGGGUGAGGCACCUUACCUGUGAUAUUUCCUUUGCAAAGCAGCCCCACUCUCUUGCCACUGAAUUCUGCUAGCUCUUGAAAAGAAACUACUUUAGGAAUUGUCUAAAUAUACAGACUCAGAGAAUAUUUCAUCUGAAAAGGAAAAUCACUUCCUUCUACAUACACUGAGAGCUUUGUCAAAUGGUGUCCGCUCUUCCAUUACCACCUGCUGUCUGACCCCUGUGCUGAUGAAUAAUCAACUCAGUGCAGCAGCCACGGUUUCCUGCCCUUCUCUAGUUUGCAGGAGCAGAUUGACAGGCUGUCUUCUAACAGCCAUUCAUUUCAUUCCAGACUUUCCCCAGGGAGUAGUCUCCACCCGCUUGCUUUCUCUAUAAAACUCACAAAUCAAUCAUGAAAUGCACUAAUUUUUGUGAAUCAGGACCCUAAAUGUUUAAUUGUAAAUAAUUUGUUUCAUAGAUUGCUUUUAGCUUUGUGUUAUCUUUUUAAUUGUUAACUAAAUUUACUUCUAAAAUAACUACUGUAGAUUAAGCCAAGCUUUACAGAUAUAAAUAUUUACACUGUAAUGGUAAUUUUGAAAGAUUGCAAUAAAGCCGCUUCAUCUUAAAGCUUUCAAUACUAGAAUUGGCUCUAUAUCUCAUUUACUUCAGAAAGUAUUUUUUUCUACAGUUCUCUUAUGUAAAUUAGGUUGUAAAAAGAAUAAAAUGUUUGUGGUCUGAGAAAAUAAAAAAUGGGAUUCCUAUUCAAAGGUA
Molecule: RNA transcript, 3631 nt
Organism: Mus musculus (house mouse)
Lineage: Eukaryota; Metazoa; Chordata; Mammalia; Rodentia; Muridae
Gene: Gclc
Gene name: glutamate-cysteine ligase, catalytic subunit
Exons: 17
Source: RefSeq, marked validated